CCGUCGGAGGGGCUCGCCUCGGCGCUGGUAAUGGUGAUGUCCUCCUUCCCCCAGAAGCUCCUCACGUCUGGCGGGACUGAGCUGAGCUGUCAGUGACAAGGGAGGAAGAGGAGGAGGGGUGAGGAAGGAGAGAAGGAAAGAGGAGGCGGUGUCCAAUGGUUACAGUCGCUCCUUCCCGCGCGCACGGCUGACUACGUCACCGGCCUCGUCAGCUAGCGUGAGGACUGCGGACGGAUUAUUAGAGGAUCAUCAUCAACAUCAUCGCCAUGGCGACGCGUGGCCCAACCCCUCUUCCGCUCCCUCCCUCCAGUGAAGUUGUGGGCGUGGUGGGCACGUUUCCAUCCGGCUCAUCAUGUUGCGAGCGAAGCAAAAGAGCCACGGGGGGCAUUUGUUCCGCGUGGACUCCCCCUCAGCUGCCAAACGUCAGACUAUUUUUAGACGCCGGCGGAGAAAGAGCGUGAGCUACGAAGCGGACCGAUGAAACCGGACUCAUGUCCUUCCUUUUGCUUUGACUUGCAAGCUUAAACUUGAUUCGAGCGCUCUAUGAUGGGAGGCUACCUGAAAGCUAACAUUCAAUAGCACGCGGGCUAACAAUUAGCAUCAACGUGGUGAUGUUAAAUGAAAGCAACAGCUACCCAAAUGUUGCUAAACACACUGAUGGACCAUAAUAUUGUUCCUCAUAUUCUUUAUCCCCUGCAAAGAACGACUGAUAUCAGUGCUGUACUAAUGAGCUGAGAGGACUCAAGCUGUUUUAGUGAAAUGCACAAUUGUGCCCGGCAUACAUUGUGUAUAUAUAGUUUUUUUUUUUAGCUGAUCCCCCCGCUAUUUUCAUGGAAAAAGCAUACUGAUUGUUCUUUUUCCAAUGGCAUCAAUUUUAUCUGGAGUCUCGCUAUUUGCAGUCCGGCCAGGUCCCUAAGCCUCAUUGUCUGUCUUGGACUGCCCC
Long non-coding RNA from Syngnathus typhle (broad-nosed pipefish), 943 nucleotides. RefSeq lists it as uncharacterized. The record is from RefSeq and is a predicted model, not a curated record. Lineage: Eukaryota; Metazoa; Chordata; Actinopteri; Syngnathiformes; Syngnathidae. The transcript is spliced from 3 exons.